RNAcentral lists this ribosomal RNA (245 nucleotides) under uncultured bacterium. RNAcentral's name for it is "partial 16S ribosomal RNA". It matches the Rfam family "Bacterial small subunit ribosomal RNA", at positions 118 to 347 of the family's 1533-position model. The record is from RNAcentral.
UGGGUAACCUGCCUCAAAGAGGGGAAUAGCCUCCCGAAAGGGAGAUUAAUACCGCAUAAUAUGUUUUAGUCGCAUGACUUAAACAUCAAAGGAUUUUCUUUUAGAAAUUCCACUUUGAGAUGGACCCGCGGCGCAUUAGCUAGUUGGUGAGGUAACGGCUCACCAAGGCAACGAUGCGUAGCCGACCUGAGAGGGUGAUCGGCCACAUUGGAACUGAGACACGGUCCGGACUCCUACGGGAGCAG